GACGAACGCUGGCGGCGUGCUUAACACAUGCAAGUCGAACGGAAAGGCCCUGCUUUUGUGGGGUGCUCGAGUGGCGAACGGGUGAGUAACACGUGAGUAACCUGCCCUUGACUUUGGGAUAACUUCAGGAAACUGGGGCUAAUACCGGAUAGGAGCUCCUGCUGCAUGGUGGGGGUUGGAAAGUUUCGGCGGUUGGGGAUGGACUCGCGGCUUAUCAGCUUGUUGGUGGGGUAGUGGCUUACCAAGGCUUUGACGGGUAGCCGGCCUGAGAGGGUGACCGGCCACAUUGGGACUGAGAUACGGCCCAGACUCCUACGGGAGGCAGCAGUGGGGAAUAUUGCACAAUGGGCGGAAGCCUGAUGCAGCAACGCCGCGUGCGGGAUGACGGCCUUCGGGUUGUAAACCGCUUUCGCCUGUGACGAAGCGUGAGUGACGGUAAUGGGUAAAGAAGCACCGGCUAACUACGUGCCAGCAGCCGCGGUGAUACGUAGGGUGCGAGCGUUGUCCGGAUUUAUUGGGCGUAAAGGGCUCGUAGGUGGUUGAUCGCGUCGGAAGUGUAAUCUUGGGGCUUAACCCUGAGCGUGCUUUCGAUACGGGUUGACUUGAGGAAGGUAGGGGAGAAUGGAAUUCCUGGUGGAGCGGUGGAAUGCGCAGAUAUCAGGAGGAACACCAGUGGCGAAGGCGGUUCUCUGGGCCUUUCCUGACGCUGAGGAGCGAAAGCGUGGGGAGCGAACAGGCUUAGAUACCCUGGUAGUCCACGCUGUAAACGGUGGGUACUAGGGUGUGGGGGGUCCAUUCCCCGGGUUCCGUGCCGUAGCUAACGCUUUAAGUACCCCGCCUGGGGAGUACGGCCGCAAGGCUAAAACUCAAAGGAAUUGACGGGGCCCCGCACAAGCGGCGGAGCAUGCGGAUUAAUUCGAUGCAACGCGUAGAACCUUACCUGGGUUUGACAUGGAUCGGGAGUGCUCAGAGAUGGGUGUGCCUCUUUUGGGGUCGGUUCACAGGUGGUGCAUGGCUGUCGUCAGCUCGUGUCGUGAGAUGUUGGGUUAAGUCCCGCAACGAGCGCAACCCUUGUUCACUGUUGCCAGCACGUUAUGGUGGGGACUCAGUGGAGACCGCCGGGGUCAACUCGGAGGAAGGUGGGGAUGACGUCAAGUCAUCAUGCCCCUUAUGUCCAGGGCUUCACGCAUGCUACAAUGGCUGGUACAGAGAGUGGCGAGCCCGUGAGGGUGAGCGAAUCUCGGAAAGCCGGUCUCAGUUCGGAUUGGGGUCUGCAACUCGACCUCAUGAAGUCGGAGUCGCUAGUAAUCGCAGAUCAGCAACGCUGCGGUGAAUACGUUCCCGGGGCUUGUACACACCGCCCGUCA
This 1367-nucleotide ribosomal RNA is filed under the name uncultured organism. Its description in RNAcentral is "16S ribosomal RNA". It matches the Rfam family "Bacterial small subunit ribosomal RNA", at positions 28 to 1399 of the family's 1533-position model. The record is from RNAcentral.